GAUGAACGCUGGCGGCGUGCCUAACACAUGCAAGUCGAGCGGCAGCGCGGGGUGCUUGCACCCUGUCGGCGAGCGGCGGGCGGCUGAGUAACGCGUGGGAACGUGCCUCAACGUGAGGAAUAACUGCCGGAAAGGGUAGCUAAUACCGCAUGGUAUCUUCGGAUCAAAGGAGUUAUCCGCGUUGGGCGCGGGUCGCGUCGGCUUAGGUGGUUGGUGAGGUAGUGGCUCAGCAAGGCGACGACCCGUACCUGGUCUGGGAGGAUGACCCGCCAGGCCUGAGCUGCGACACGGUCCCGACUCCUACGGGAGGGUGCAGAGAAGUAUCCACCACAAUGGGGCAAGGUCUGACGGCGCCACGCCGGGUGCAGCACGAAGCCGGUCGGGAUCUGCACUCGUUUUAUAAGUGGCGAAUAUGACGGUAACUGAUGAAUAAGCACCGGCUAACUACGUG
RNAcentral lists this ribosomal RNA (451 nucleotides) under uncultured bacterium. Its description in RNAcentral is "partial 16S ribosomal RNA". It matches the Rfam family "Bacterial small subunit ribosomal RNA", at positions 28 to 507 of the family's 1533-position model. The record is from RNAcentral.